UGUGGGUGGUGGUACUAUUGGCGUUUUUAAGUGAAUUUAUGGCAGGUUUUCAAGGCAGACAGGAAGAAGAUAUGGGUUUCUUAGGAGCUUGUUAGCUUGCUCCCAUGGCCUUAUUAUUCUCUAAAGGGAUGGGAAAUGCCAGCCAAUGAGGAGGAAAAGCCCUAAGGGGAGUAGGGUUCAAGUGUGGAAGGAUAGCAACAAGCAUAGGUUCCCAGAAUCCAAAGGAACCUCCGGCCGUCAGGAUUCUCUCUCGAUCUAUUACACUGUUGAUACCCCUGGUGUCUCGGUAGCUGGUUUUUAUUUUUUCCUUCUGUUUUUUGAUUUUUGUUUCUUUUAACUUUUGAAGGGAGAAAGUGAGGGAACACAACUAAAUAUGGGUCAUGUGCCAGUUUUCUGCAAUGGAAUUGGAUUUUGGAAGAAGGUCUGGCUUGUAAACGGACUUAGUUAGUAGGUCAUGGGUCACCUAUUCUGACUGGAGGUCAAUUGCAAGUCUUUCAAGUCAUGGGUCGCCCGACACCUCAUAAUUAUGAUAUGACUAAUUAAAUUUGCCCAAAUUCUUAUUCAAAAGCGUGGUAAAGCUUCUCAUUACUUGUAUAUCCUUAUAAAAAUUUCUAUUUGCACGCCUACCCAUUAAGGAUAUUUUAGUCAUUUUAAUUUAAAACCAUUAAUUUUUUAACGGUGUUAGAUGGUAUGGGUACAUAUGCAAAAAUAAGAAUAAAAAAGGGUAGAAUAGCAAAAUAAAUAUUUUACGAGGGUAUACAUGCAAAUAUCAAUUUUGGAAGGGUAUUCACGCAAAAUCCUAUAUUUAGAAGGAUAUCUAUGCAAAAAAAAAAACCCUUUAUUUUUUAUUCGAUUAUUUUCUUCUCACAUCCUUCUCACU
Molecule: long non-coding RNA, 880 nt
Filed under: Phoenix dactylifera (date palm)
Lineage: Eukaryota; Viridiplantae; Streptophyta; Magnoliopsida; Arecales; Arecaceae
Description: long non-coding RNA (PDAC_LNC017375)
Source: RNAcentral